UAAAUGCGAUACGUAAUGUGAUACGCAAGUUGUCGUGAAUCAUUGAAAUCUUGAACGCAAAUUGCGCUUUUAAGUGAAAGCUUGAAAGCAUACUUUUAUGAGGGUGGGAAUGCCGUUAAAUUAUUUUGCGAUAGCAAAGUAAUUUAUGAUGAUAUGGGGGUGAACGAUUGAGUUCUCCCCUUAAAAGCAAAUUAAUUAGCAAUCAUGUGACGAAUUAUAUUAAUUGUGGUCACAUGAUUAUAUGCCCCCCCAAGUACCCCACCUCAUAAAAGUAUGAUAUACCCGCUGAACUUAA
This 295-nucleotide unclassified non-coding RNA is filed under the name uncultured fungus. RNAcentral's name for it is "sequence contains ITS1". The stretch from base 1 to 107 matches the Rfam family "5.8S ribosomal RNA", at positions 50 to 154 of the family's 154-position model. Lineage: Eukaryota; Fungi. The record is from RNAcentral.